Oxyura jamaicensis (ruddy duck) is the source of this 8842-nucleotide RNA transcript. It is a transcript of the gene named QKI, KH domain containing RNA binding, with no coding region annotated. The record is from RefSeq and is a predicted model, not a curated record. Lineage: Eukaryota; Metazoa; Chordata; Aves; Anseriformes; Anatidae. The transcript is spliced from 9 exons.
GACGACGACGAAGAGGACUCGCCCGGCGGCGGCGGCGGCAGCAGCGGCGGAGAGACCCCGGCGGCGGCGGCGGCGGCUCCUCCUGGAAAGCGGCGGCCGCGGCAGCCCGCCCCGCUCGUCCCCUCCCUCCCUCCUCCCGCCCUCCCCCGCCGCGGAGCCGGGGGGCAGCGCCGAGGAGCGGAGCCGGGCGGAGCGGCAGGAGGAGGAGGAGGAGGAGGAGGAGGGGGGGACGCAGCCCGGGCCGCGCCGGCCGAGGGCGCACGGAGCGGCGGCACCGACAGCGGCAGCAGCAGCGGCAGGAGGCGGCGGCGGCGGCGGGGCCCCGCGCCCGGGGAGGAGCGCGCAGCCCGCGGCGGGCUUCCCAGCGAGUUUCCUCUUUUUUUCUCCGCUCUCCCCCCGCGGCGGCGGCUGAGCGUCGGCCCCCGGCGGCGAGCCGUCCUCCUCCUCCUCCUCCUCCUCCUUCCUCGCGGGAGCUCCCCUGCCCGCCCCCUCCCCUCCCCCGCGCUCCCUGCCGGCCCGCCCGCACCCCGCCGGGCGCCCCGUGCCGCCGCCGCCGCCUCGCUCGGCGGAGCUGCUGCGGGCGCCCGCCCUCCGCGCGCCGGCCGCCGUGGAAUAUGGUUGGGGAAAUGGAAACCAAGGAGAAGCCGAAGCCGAGCCCCGAUUACCUGAUGCAGCUGAUGAACGACAAGAAGCUGAUGAGCAGCCUCCCCAACUUCUGCGGGAUCUUCAACCACCUCGAGCGGCUGCUGGACGAAGAAAUUAGCAGAGUACGGAAAGACAUGUAUAACGACACAUUAAAUGGUAGUACGGAGAAGAGAAGUGCAGAAUUACCAGAUGCUGUGGGACCUAUUGUACAGUUACAAGAGAAACUAUAUGUGCCUGUAAAAGAAUAUCCAGAUUUUAACUUUGUUGGAAGAAUCCUUGGGCCCAGAGGACUAACAGCUAAACAGCUUGAGGCAGAAACAGGAUGCAAGAUAAUGGUCCGAGGGAAGGGCUCAAUGAGAGACAAAAAGAAGGUCUCCUUUAAGAGCAGAGACAACCAUGAUCCAGCAGUUAUGGAGGUAGAGGAAGAACAAAACCGAGGCAAGCCCAACUGGGAACACCUUAACGAAGAUUUACAUGUACUUAUCACUGUGGAGGAUGCUCAAAACAGAGCAGAAAUAAAACUGAAGAGGGCUGUUGAAGAAGUUAAAAAGUUACUGAUACCCGCAGCAGAAGGAGAAGACAGCCUUAAAAAGAUGCAACUGAUGGAGCUUGCAAUUCUGAAUGGCACCUACAGAGAUGCCAACAUCAAAUCACCAGCCCUUGCCUUUUCUCUUGCAGCAACAGCCCAGGCUCCAAGGAUCAUUACUGGGCCUGCGCCUGUUCUCCCACCAGCUGCCCUGCGUACUCCUACGCCAGCUGGCCCUACCAUAAUGCCUUUGAUCAGACAAAUACAAACCGCUGUCAUGCCAAACGGAACUCCUCAUCCCACCGCUGCAAUAGUGCCACCAGGACCCGAAGCUGGUUUAAUUUACACCCCGUACGAGUACCCCUACACGCUGGCACCAGCUACAUCAAUUCUUGAGUAUCCUAUUGAACCUAGUGGUGUAUUAGGUAUGGCUUUCCCAACGAAAGGCUAAGAAUUCAAGAACGGUCUUAAACUGAUCCUUCAUCAGAUCUGAAUCUUAACAAAUGCUUAGUUUCAGCAGCCUUGAAAAAAGCUUGGCCUAGCAGUCAGUGACUUACUUGCACUUUUUUUGCACAUAGAUUUAAAAUAAAAUAGUGCUAUUAAUUUGGAUUAGCCCCUAUUAUUACAGAGUAGCUGUAAUUUAUGAGUGUAUAGUAGUAUACUGACUGCUAAGUGUUCUAUAUAGUGUUUGCUUUACUAAUCACCUAAUUCAUUGCAGUUCAUACUUAUUGACUUAAAGUUUAAAAUCACAAUCUGUAGGCUUGAAGAAUUGCUUUAAAACUUUUCUUUUUGUGGUAGAACUGGAAGUGAUCUUAAGGUUAGCAAAUAAUUGUCAGUAUUAAAAGAUGGCAUUAUUUAAAAUAGUCCUGCUGCAAGAAAGGCACUUCAGUGAAUAUGUGACUAGUAAAGCUUAAAUGUGCUUGGGUCUAAUAGAUUUCAUGAAAUACUGUAAUUUUGGGAUUGUAAAUGAAUGGAUUAAACAGGUUAAGGCCAGGAUGUUUAAAAUAAAUGCAAUAUUAAUCUGCACAGAUAAACUUCUUAAGGUUAAGAUUUGAAACUACUGUGCCUUAACUUGUUGCUUUUCUUAAAAUGAACUUUUGUAGUUAAUGAUCAUUUAAAUCCAUUUUGAUAAACCUGCUGUUAAUGUUUUCUUUGAAUGUUUUCUAACUUUGUCUUGGUAAUUGCAAUUUAACUAGGUGCGGUGGCUACUAAAGUUCGAAGGCACGAUAUGCGUGUCCAUCCUUACCAAAGGAUUGUGACCGCAGACCGAGCCGCCACCGGCAACUAACCUAUGACCUUCUGACCUCUGAACUCUUCACCCAAUGAUGACCUGACCAUGCCUGCCUGCUGAUCAGUUAACUGGUAAUCGCCUUUGCUUGCCUGUCUUCAGUGCAGCGAGCUGGGGCACUUGUCCGUUCGUCUUACCAUCUAACAAAACAGACAAAGAAAUUGUUGUCCUCCAACUCCGCUUUUUUGUGUUCUCCUGUCUGGGUGAAAGUGGUUCUAGAACCUGCACUGAAUAGUAGUAAAGCAAUAAGGUCCAAUUCAUCCCUCCGCACUGAUCAUCCUCUAGCGUCCCGCCCCAAGCGAACGGUAAGGAGGCCUCGCGCGAGAUGGAGACAGAUGUCCCUUAACUACCGAUGACAGAGGCAGUUACUGUGAGAGACUUCUAGGAAUAUUUUUCUUCUCAAAAAAGAAGUCCGAGCUCUCUCUGAAUGUACUGUGUGAUGAUGCAUCAUGCAUGAACCUUUGGUCAGGGAUGUCAUUGGUGAAGGGAUUCCAAAAAGUAUUCAAAAUUUGACGUGCUGUUUAGUCACUACCAGUGCCCUCAAAGGGCCAAAGUUGCAGCCUUUUUUCUAUUGCCUGCCAAAUUGGAUGUUUUAAAAGAAAGCGUGCCAUGAGAUACAGAUCACAAUGAAUUUUCAGAACUAUGUUAAUGCAGAGAACAAAACAGCAACACUAUGAAAGCGAAUCCGAGUUUAAAUUAUUUUAACCAUACUUUAAUCUCCUCAGAAGAUUACAUGAGAACAAGGUACAUGCAUUAUGUGUCACAUUACUGGGCAAACUGUUCAAAUAUUUUUUUUAAACCUCCCUGUAUAGAAAAAAAAUUCAUUAAGGAUGUAAAAGCCAUGCUUGCCUAUUUGCUGUAUACAUGUAACGAAAUUGUAGAUAAAGUGUAGUGCAUUGAAACAAAAUGAACAAAAAAAAGUAGAUACUUUUACUAUACAAGGGUGCUGGUGCAGAAAAAAAUAUAUUUUUGGAAAUGUAGCAUUUUAUACUUUCAAGUGUUAUAAAAAAAAAGAAAAAAAGAACAAAGAAACCCUUUAUUUCAUUAAAUGAUUUUUUCUGGUGGUUGUCAAGAAACAAAAGACCAAAAGAGCCUUUUAGUCUUUCUUUUUUAUUUUUUAAGUAUUGGAAUAAGUCUAAAGAAAAGGAAGUGCCUUAUUUUCUUCAUGGUCAUUUAGUCAAAUGUCUUGUAUAAUCAGCUUCUCCCUCAGACAAGUUACUGCAUGCCACUCAGUCGCCCAGUAUGUGAAAAGAAGCUGUGAGGAAAGACAAAUGAUGAGUUGACCAUAUUAAUUACCUGAUUUUUGCCAUAUUAGUGUGAUGUGACUUUGCCAAAAAUGUGUUAUGGAAACUAUUUGCUAAGGUUUUGUCAGUCCAGCCCAUCAUUAUUUCCACAACUCUACUUUUCAAAUCAGAGCUAAUACAGUACUUGUGCAAUGUAAACCAAAGGGUUCUGUGUUACAGACUGUCUCAUUCUAAAUUAGACUAUUAGCUGAGAAAUGUUUGUAGAGCUGGAACUAUUUCAUUUUUGUUCAGGGAUGGCGAUGAGUUUUCUUGAUUUUUGGUUGCAUCAGACAUAGCAGACUACAGUCAUCCAGAAAAACUGGUGUUCUGCAGAUAAUGAAAUUGAAAGUGCUUAGCUAGUCCUCAGUUAUGAUCUGAGCAUGUUCCCAGUUUUUGUAAGCAGCUCCUGCAGUGUCAAACAGUAUGCAAGUUACUUAUUUUUCAGCUUUUUUUUUUUUAUUAUUAUUAAUGUUAGAUCUGCCUACUGGCUUUCCUUUGUAAGAUAAGCAGGAGAGGGACAUCAGUUAGUUGUUUGAAGCCCAGCUAUACUGUAUUUUUAACCCUCGCUUCCACAUGAGAUUUAUGUAGCUGGGCAAUCACAGGAGUUGAAGCUGUUGAACGCACAGUAUUUAAUUCUAAAAACAUUAAGUAUUACUUUGUGUGGGGCUCAAAACUAAACUUGGCAAAUAUCAGGUGAUAACUUUACUCCCCUUCUCGUCAACUUAUUCUCCUCCUGCAAAUCUUCACAGCUUCCAAAUGAAAGGUCAAUAGUAAGCUAAGAGGGCUUACAUUUUUAAGCACCUGCAUGGUGACCUCAUCUAACAUCUUGUUUCACCUGGAAAUAAUUAUCAGUUUAUUUACUAUGCAAUAGACAUUCAUCCUUUCAUAUUCAGCUAGCUUUUUGUUUAUUGUGCCACCGGCUUUGUCUUCCUGUUACACAUACAGUUGUGUUGAUUUUACUUACAGUAUAUGCUGUGCCAUUUUGAUUUUUUUUUUUUGGUUGGUUGGUUGAAUAAACUUGCGACACUCGAACAUUUGAAGAGAGAUUUGCUAAAACAAUACCAGUAUUUGAUCCAGUUUCAUCUCAACUAUGAUAAAACCUGGACAUUUUUAGAUGUUUAUCAAAGGUCUUUUAUUGGGGAUGGGGGGGAAGUGUAUGAAACAGAUGUGUGACAUGUGAAAGUAAUGUUUGCUCUGAACAAACUUCUAAAAACUUAGUUGACAAAAUUUUGGAUCAACUUAAAAAAAAAAGCAUGACUUUUGAAAUCUCUGAAUGCCUUGGUUCUCAGUAUUAUCAUUCUUUAAUGACUUUUUCUUUAUUAAAAUAAGUAGUUUUAAGACUUCUUUCUGACAGUAUUAUGUAAUUUUUUUUAGAGUGGGUAGAUGGGAGUGUCGCUUGUAUGUAACCGUACAGAUGACAUGUAUUUGUCUAUUCUUUAUUAUCUUAGUAGUUUCAUGCUAUGUAUGUACCAUAACCAACCUAUUGCCUAUGAGAAACAUGUAAGAUAAUGUAUUUACAGCCAUUGUUACAAGUUUAUAAUGUAUUUUUCUAUCUUGUUUUAUAUGUAUGUUAUAUAACAUUCAAAAGAAUUUUUUUCCUGAUUGAGAAAAAAAAAAAGGAUACAAAAUGCAAAACCCACAAUUUUGAUAACUGAAAAAUUGCCAAUUGUUUUGCAGUACUUUAUUAUAUUGGGAGUGUUGUCUUUCUUGGGCUUUUAGUUAGCUACUGGAUGAAUACAUUAGACAUAUUUGGGUUUUAGUUGGGUUUUUACAUAGCUUGCAUUUUAAUUCUUUGGUUCUUUGCUGUUUCUAUUAACCCAUAGCAUUAUUUUAAUAAAUGUUAUAAUACCAACCUACUAACUCUGGACUAUGUCUGUUUAUUAACCAUUACAUGUUUAAUUAAAGUAAACAAAUAAAGACGGAAGAAUGUAAAGUCUUGAGUUACUGGACUAACCCUGAAGAACGUGACCACAGAUAACACAACGUGACUUGUUUUUAUGUUGUUUGUCGGCUGACAUUCUGCACACUACUAUUAAGUUGGCUUUGGUCAUCCUGGCCUUUUACCUUGGGGAAUAGGUGCCAGUAGAUACGGGAACAAAGUAGCAAAUUUUUUUUUUUUUUGAGGCAUUCUUCUUGUAGAGUCUUGCCACUUGCCUUUCAGCAUCUGCAUUACUAAUUCCACACUUUCUUUUUCUUUCUCUAAAAUAAUUACUCUCAGCUCACAGCAAAAGAGCAAAGAUGGCAAUGUAUUGGAAAAUCAUGAUGGUGUACAGAAACCAGUUUGAUUCUUUGUUGAACCAUUCAGAGGUUGCAGUUAAUCUCGGCAAUCUGGGAGGUGUUGGUUUGGGCACCUGUUGCAUUGCGGGAUAUUUCCAAGCACAAAAUACAUCUAGAUGUAAUUACCAUGAAUUGAAAUACAAAAUCUUAUUUUUUUCCUUGCCAAAAGUGCCUUAUUUUCUUCAUGCCAUGCUAUUUUUAUGUAUUUUUUUUUUGUACUUCUGCAAUAGUCUAUCAGUAUUGCAUAGCUCAGGGGAGUACAAUUUCUGUAAGCCAAAGGUCAGACUGGAUCAUUUCGUAAUGACUGCAGAAAGUACAAAAACACACCUUUCACUAAAUUACUGAGCAAGAGCCAUUUCAAAUUCCAGGGCUGCCUUUAUGUAAUCUUUGUCCCUGUGGAUGACUGUAGCAACACGAAUGCAGGGAAUUGAAAUGGCGAAGAUGCUGUUUUGAUUGUACCUCUAUGCAGAUUAUUUUUACAGAAACAUUUCUCUCUCAAACCUUCUGUUGUCUGAGGCUCCUUUACGUAGCCUGGAUUUGUAAUCUUAAGGGGACAGUUAUAGUGAAUGUCAAGGGAAAUCAUUGAUGUAGAUUACUCUUCAGAUACCCGCAGUUUUUGUGAGACCCCAUUUUUUUAUGUAGAUAGCACAAAAAAAAUUCAGACAAUGAGGCAAUGAGGCUUUGCAUUUGUUCAGAACCUUUAAUUUAUGAUGUUUCAAACUACACAUCUUGAAAUCUAUGUGAUAGAAAACUUUAAGAAGUUCUUAUAUGUAAUAAUUAAAAUAGAAUGUAUCUUUAUUUUAUGGAGGAAAAAUAGGUUAGCUGUGAUGAAGACGUUUGUUUUAUAAUAGUGUGUACUUUUUUGUUUGUUUUACAAAAGUGUUUAGGUACAGCUAGAAUAUCAAUGCAUUUAGAAUAGUUUCACUUGUACAGAAAUAAAAACAGAUCGUGAAUAUAGUGUUAUCCCAAAAGUCAGUCACAGUUAGAUGGUGGAGAAAAAAACAGAUAAUGUUGAGACCUUUUGAUUAGGUAAUGGCACAGGUGUCAUUGCAGAUCCACUAGUUUAUAUUAUUAAAAUAUUUCAUCAGAGGCAUGCAUUUAAACUCUGAAGUAUUCUCUGGUGUAAGUGAAACUAUUCAAAUAUGGCAAACUAAUAAUGCUCUAUAUUGAAAAAUAGUUCUAAAGCUACUGCGUUUUUGCAGUAUUUUUUAUGUUUUCUAUUUUUAUUAGUUAUGAACUACUGUCAUACAUUGUUCACAGUGCAUUUUCAUCUCAUUCUUUAAAGUAGUGAAAAUUGCCUUAAAUUUUGAAGUACUUUAAAGCUGAAGGAAAGAAAAAAAAAAAUCAAAAUUUUAUGCUCAUUGCUGUUGACCACCAAAUGCAUUUCUCAGUUUACCUAAGUGCCUGUCUGAAAAUUUAACUACUUUAUACUUUGCCUGCUUAUAGGAAAGACACAGGCUAUUUUUAGAACCGAACUUGAGGAUGGUUUCAAUAUUGCUACAUCAUUGGAGCUAGGUUGUUUUUUUUCUUUGUUUCUAUUUUGGGAUUAAAUUGUCUUUACAUUUGAAAGCUCAUACAUUCAAGUUAAGUAGAGAGUUGCUGGUCCAUCAAAUACAGUGGAUUAAUCUUAGGAUAAACUUUUUUUUUUAAGUAGCUCAGAAUGUAAACAAAAACACCACAGAACCUUUUAAAAUGAAAUCUCAGAAUUGCUAUUGAUUUCUUAAGUGAACUGUUGAACCAAAUUAUAACAAAUUUUACUUCUCCAAUAUUUUUUUUUCUGUGCUACCAAUCUAGAAAAUACUUCAUAAAGAGUCUUCAGGGAUAUCUUUCAAAGAUUUUUAAUGAACAUGUGCUCAGUGUAUACUGAUGAUUUUUAUAUUUUAUUUGAACACAUCUUUAAAAAGCAUGUAAAAAAACAAAUGCAUAUAACAGUUUAUUCCAAGAUGGACUCUCCAAGAGGGACCACUAAAAAGUUUUCUGCCCUGAUAAUGCAGGGAAGCAUUGAAGUGUGUUGCUGCCCAUUAAGAAAUCACUAACUUGGGAGAAACAUACGAGUAUAUGAGACCUAGUUCUUUGUAUCUGGGUAACAAUUGCAGUCGUCAUAAAUAGCAUGUUGUGCAGAUGAAAUCUGAAUAACACAUUCCUAGGGUGAAAGUACAUAAUUGUUACUGGAAUUUGUUUUUAAUAUACUUGAUACAUUUUUCUAAAACCCUAUUAAUGGAAUACUGUUCAAAUAACACAAGCCAUAACGUUAACACAUGGUGAUCAAUGUUGAAUCAAACUGGUUAACACAAGUACAGUGCUCUUCCUUCUGUGUGCCUGCGCACUAAUUGCAGGUGGUACGGUUCUGCAUAGGAGCGGGCGGGGGGCGCAGCGGGUGGGUCCUUGCAGUGCCCAUUUCUUGGUGCCAGCAGUCCGGACGUCCGUCUCCGACAACAGGCUAACCGGGAGGAAUCUUGACUCCCAAGGCAAGGAUUUGCUGAGAUCUGAAACUCUUCAAUUAAUUAAUUUAAAAAGAAAUACAUAUAUACAUAUAUGCUUCUACUUGUAUUAUGGCAGUUUGUGUGAAACAUUUAAGGUUUUGUUUGUGCAAAAUAAUGUAUUCUGAGGGGGAAAAAACAUGGACAUUGCCAAAACACAUGUAAAUAAAACACCAAUUAUGACUGUACAUUAUGUGCAAUAAAAUAACUGGAAAAAAGUGCAUGUACUUUAUCCUCAAAAGCAAAUUGACAGCUCCCAAAGCUGUAGCUAUAGUAUUAUUUUCUGAAAAAAUUAAAUUUUAUUCUGUAUCUAAACAGCAGAAUAAAGAAUGUACAUUUUUCA